Molecule: small RNA, 654 nt
Filed under: Pan troglodytes (chimpanzee)
Lineage: Eukaryota; Metazoa; Chordata; Mammalia; Primates; Hominidae
Description: retained intron
Source: RNAcentral
GCUGUUCCUUUCAACUUGGUUCAGCAGGAAGAAGUGAUAUCCUCCCCAGACCAUCUGCUUUGGGGAGCUUGGCAAAACUUUCCAGCAAAAUGAAAAGACUCACGUGCUUUUUCAUCUGCUUCUUUCUUUCCGAAGUAUCAGGCUUCGAAAUCCCCAUAAAUGGACUUUCUGAAUUUGUAGACUAUGAAGAUCUUGUGGAACUGGCCCCAGGAAAAUUUCAAUUGGUGGCAGAGAACCGGAGAUAUCAGAGAAGCCUUCCAGGAGAAUCGGAAGAAAUGAUGGAAGAGGUUGAUCAAGUAACUCUUUAUAGCUAUAAAGUCCAGUCUACUAUUACUUCUCGGAUGGCCACCACCAUGAUCCAGAGCAAAGUGGUGAACAAUUCCCCGCAGCCUCAGAAUGUCGUGUUUGAUGUUCAGAUCCCCAAAGGAGCAUUCAUUUCCAACUUCUCCAUGACUGUGGACGGCAAGACAUUUAGGAGCUCUAUUAAGGAGAAAACUGUGGGCCGAGCUCUUUACGCACAGGCCAGAGCAAAAGGCAAGACGGCUGGCAUGGUGAGGUAAGGCCUGAGUGAGCAAGGCUUGCCCUUGCCUCUCAAUGGCGGUUUCCUCUCCUACUUCCUUCCCAUAGCAGCAAAGCAGCCUCUGGAAAGGCACA